This 467-nucleotide ribosomal RNA is filed under the name uncultured bacterium. RNAcentral's name for it is "partial 16S ribosomal RNA". It matches the Rfam family "Bacterial small subunit ribosomal RNA", at positions 28 to 507 of the family's 1533-position model. The record is from RNAcentral.
GAUGAACGCUGACAGAAUGCUUAACACAUGCAAGUCCACUUGAAUUUGGGUUUUUAACUUAGGUUUGGGUGGCGGACGGGUGAGUAACGCGUAAAGAACUUGCCUCACAGCUAGGGACAACAUUUGGAAACGAAUGCUAAUACCUAAUAUUAUGAUAAUAGGGCAUCCUAUAAUUAUGAAAGCUAUAAGCGCUGUGAGAGAGCUUUGCGUCCCAUUAGCUAGUUGGAGAGGUAACGGCUCACCAAGGCGAUGAUGGGUAUCCGGCCUGAGAGGGUGAUCGGCCACAAGGGGACUGAGACACGGCCCUUACUCCUACGGGAGGCAGCAGUGGGGAAUAUUGGACAAUGGACCAAGAGUCUGAUCCAGCAAUUCUGUGUGCACGAUGAAGUUUUUCGGAAUGUAAAGUGCUUUCAGUUGGGAAGAAAGAAAUGACGGUACCAACAGAAGAAGUGACGGCUAAAUACGUG